ACGUAGGGGACGAGCGUUGUCCGGAAUUACUGGGCGUAAAGGGCGCGCAGGCUGUGCUGUAAGUCAGCUGUGAAAUAUCUGGGCUUAACCCGGGUAUGCGUUUGAGACUGCAGCGCUUGAGUACGGUAGAGGCAAGCGGAAUUCCCUGUGUAGCGGUGAAAUGCGUAGAUAUUGGGAAGAACACCGGUGGCGAAGGCGACUUGCUGGGCAGAUACUGACGCUGAGGCGCGAGAGCGUGGGUAGCAAACAG
RNAcentral lists this ribosomal RNA (250 nucleotides) under uncultured prokaryote. Its description in RNAcentral is "partial 16S rRNA". It matches the Rfam family "Bacterial small subunit ribosomal RNA", at positions 525 to 775 of the family's 1533-position model. The record is from RNAcentral.